UGAGAGCGAGCGAGAGAGCGAGCCAGGGAACUUGGCCUCCUUCCGGCGCCCGCCCGCUCCAAAAGGGAGCGCCAACUUUCGCAGAUUCCAGCCCUCAGGAAUUUAAGGAUGGUGUGUACAAGCAGCAAUUGUUUUAGGUGCGUCAGAUAUUUGUGCAACUGAACCCCGAAGUGACCCAAAAACAUCACAAAAACAUCACAAAAGGGGCAGAAUAGGACAGGGGCGGAGACGGAAUGGGGGCUUUUUCAAUGGUGUUUCAGAUAUAUGCGAUUUCACUUAAACACAUGGUGCCGUGGAAUGUAAUUGCCAUGUAAAUUGGGAGUUGCCUGUACAAUAAAAUAAGCAGGUUCUUUGACCUUCUCUGAAGUUGUUUUAGGAAGGGAGCCUUGCUAGGUACCCGAGACAGGGAACAGGUAGGCACAAUAGAGCUAGCAUGAUGGAUACAAAGAGCAUUGGAGGGCUUUCUGAACUUGUUGAAAGUUAUCAGUACAAAACAUUCACAAGAUUUCACACGGACUUCAGAAGACCUUCUUGUGUUUAUAUAGUAUCAGUUUAGUUGGAAAUGAAGACACUAUGUCCUGUUACUGAACCCUUUAAAGGCCUUGAUUCAUUUGCCCUCAGUCUACAGGCUCGCAGUGUACUUAAGAGUUUGGAGAUGCAUCAGAGAGCACACGAGACGCUGGGGAAUGUGUGUCAGAGAUGUCUGUGAAGCUCAAGGCACGCGAAGUACCCUUCCGCAAAUAAAUUGCAGAAGCCCACCAGUGAAAUGAUGGCUUUUUAGGCAGAGAUCAGUUUUACCUCUUGAGACAUCAUUGCCAGAUUUCAGUAUGGACGUUGGGCACAGCCCUGGGAUGUAUUAUGUAGUCAUUGUAUUAUGUACAAUGUAUCUUGAGCUCAAAAAACAAACUGGCAAAACCAGUUUCCAUAAAAUAGUACAAGAAGAAACUUCUGUAAUAUAGUUCAGCAUGUUUUCUCAUUCAGGCACUUAAUAAGCCUUUGAAUAAUGUGAUUCAACAUACUGAGAGCCAUGUGGAAGAAAAGGAAAGAAUAAAAGGGAGUACAUUUCUUGGAUAACAUAAUGUAGCUUUCUUCCAUACUUGAGUUUUGUAUAAAAUUGGUAAGAUAAUGGUAGGUGACUGUAGUACUUAAUACCAGGAAACUAAAACAUAAAAUAUAGUAUAUUCUAUCUUGUUAAAGAGGCAAAGAAAAGAGAAACAUGGUCAGGUUAAAUGUAGGAAGUUGUAUGAAUCUUAGAACACCUGAUAAGUCUAUAUAUUAUUUGAAUUACUUUUAUAUUAGUUCUAUCAGCAAAAUCAUUUUUAAACAAUUUGUUGCAUGUAAACUGUAUGAAAAAUGUGCAGAUCUUUAAACCAUUUUUUUAAAAAAAUAAUGCAUAAAGAAACCAAGGGUUUUCGAUUGCAGUGAAAAUUACAGACAGGGACUCAACACAUUUAAUGGGAUAUUUCCCCCCUUUCCAUUUACACUAUCAUAAAUUACAAAGCAUAUUUCACUUCACAAAAUAAAACCAUUUCCAUACCAUUUUAUGACAGUAUUUAGUACAUAAACCUACAACAAUUGAAAUCUGUACAACUUAGGAGAAUCCCUUCUAGCACUGUACCAGCAAAGCAGACCUCACUUACAUCUGGCCUGCAGCCUGGGUCUGUCUACUUAGCCCUUGGUGACCUAUGUAAAGGAUAACUGAUAUACAUUAUUUCAUGUGCCUCCUUUUGUCUUUACUCUUUCUUCAUUAUCCAUGUUGCACACUCCCCACCCCAAUUUUAAUAGAAACCUAUGCUCCCUGAAAUAAUUCAGAAAACAGCAUAAUGGGGUUUUUGAAACUUAGGAUUUGUACAAAUCAAGAGCAGAGCUCAAUAGAGUCUUUUGUAUUGCAAAUUCAGUUUUGUAAUAAACUAUGCUACCUUUGUGUUUGAAA
Long non-coding RNA from Podarcis muralis (Common wall lizard), 1933 nucleotides. RefSeq lists it as uncharacterized. The record is from RefSeq and is a predicted model, not a curated record. NCBI's taxonomy places the organism in Eukaryota, Metazoa, Chordata, Lepidosauria, Squamata, Lacertidae.